Molecule: transfer RNA, 67 nt
Filed under: Melarhaphe neritoides
Lineage: Eukaryota; Metazoa; Mollusca; Gastropoda; Littorinimorpha; Littorinidae
Description: tRNA-Phe
Source: RNAcentral
AUUUUAGUAGCUUACACACUAGAGCGUGGCACUGAAGAUGCCAAGGAGGCAAAUAUGCCCUAGGAUA